This is a non-coding RNA of Leptonychotes weddellii (Weddell seal), 394 nucleotides long. Lineage: Eukaryota; Metazoa; Chordata; Mammalia; Carnivora; Phocidae. The record is from RefSeq and is a predicted model, not a curated record.
UAGAGCAUCCUCCAGAGCUGACCCAGAAUGUUCCGGGAGCCCAGCAGGGGGAAAGCCCUUCCAGAAGCUCUUGCUGAAGAGGCCCAGUCAGCAUCCCGGGACUGGGCUCUGGUGCGGGGAGGUGGGAGACUGUUUGUAUGGCCGCUAGUGCAGAUGGCCCCUUUCCUCAGAGUCCGGGCUGCCCUUGCACCCUGCUGACCACGUUCCUUUCCCCCAGCACAGGAGCUGGGUCCCUCCCAUGGUGGCGGGGAGCUCAGAACCUGAGACAUGUAGAUGAACCACCUUCCAAGGUGACUUUUCUUACAAGAACCUGGUUAGUUGAUCUUUUAUUGUCAUUGUUUUAAUUUUCCAAGAAUAAAUUAAAAAGCCUUUCUGCUGGAUUGGCAGGUGGAGA